RNAcentral lists this long non-coding RNA (201 nucleotides) under Homo sapiens (human). RNAcentral's name for it is "HSALNT0107856". The record is from RNAcentral. Lineage: Eukaryota; Metazoa; Chordata; Mammalia; Primates; Hominidae.
CCCCACUGGGUAACAGGGAACCCUCUCAUCAUGCUGUUGUUGACUGAACUCUUCCAUUCUUGAGACCCCCCCUCCCAGAUGUUAAAUCCAGCCAAAGGAAAGCAGCAAAGCCAAAUAGGUACUACCACAAAACCUAGCCUUAUAGGUGUUUUUUAUCUGCAUUCUUCAUUCUGUUCAAUAUUUCCUACAAACACUUCCUCA